UAAAGACCUGUAUGAAUGGCUAAAUGAGUAUUUUACUGUCUCCUUUAACUAAUUAGUGAAACUGAUCUUUCAGUACAAAAGCUGAAAUAAAAAUAUAAGACGAGAAGACCCUGUGGAGCUUUAAAUUUUUACCAAUUUAAUAUUACCCAUAUAUUUAUGACAAAAAUUUUUUAGUUGGGGCGACUUUGGAGUAAAAUUUAACCUCCAAGAAAAGGUAAAACCUAGACAAGGCUAACCAGCCAAUCUAUACGACCCAGUAUUACUGACCAACGAACCAAGUUACCCCAGGGAUAACAGCGCUAUCUUCUUCAAGAGUUCAUAUCGACAAGAAGGUUUACGACCUCGAUGUUGGAUCAGGACACCCAAAUGGUGCAGCCGCUAUUAAAGGUUCGUUUGUUCAACGAUUAAUAGU
RNAcentral lists this ribosomal RNA (412 nucleotides) under Anolis laeviventris. Its description in RNAcentral is "partial 16S ribosomal RNA". It matches the Rfam family "Bacterial large subunit ribosomal RNA", at positions 1981 to 2594 of the family's 2925-position model. The record is from RNAcentral. Lineage: Eukaryota; Metazoa; Chordata; Lepidosauria; Squamata; Anolidae.